RNAcentral lists this ribosomal RNA (334 nucleotides) under Nitzschia leucosigma. RNAcentral's name for it is "partial 23S ribosomal RNA". It matches the Rfam family "Bacterial large subunit ribosomal RNA", at positions 2098 to 2431 of the family's 2925-position model. Lineage: Eukaryota; Bacillariophyta; Bacillariophyceae; Bacillariales; Bacillariaceae. The record is from RNAcentral.
GCUUUACUGUAGUUUGAUAUUGAAAUUGAGCUUUAUUUGUGCAGUAUAAGUGGGAGGNNNNNUUUUUUGUAUUUAAAAUAGAUUNNNACCGUCAGUGAGAUACCACUCUAAUUUUGUUAAAUUUCUUACUUUNNAUUAUAAUCAUAAUAAAAAACAGUUUCAAAUGGUCAGUUUGACUGGGGCGGUCGCCUCCUAAACAGUAACGGAGGCGUACAAAGGUUUUCUCUGAACGUGUAGAAAUCGUAUCUAGAGUAUAAAGGCAUAAGAAAGCUUGACUGCGAGACUGACACGUCAAGCAGGGACGAAAGUCGGUCUUAGUGAUCUGACAGUACUA